GAUGAACGCUAGCGGCAGGCCUAAUACAUGCAAGUCGAGGGGCAGCAGGAAUAGCAAUAUUCGCUGGCGACCGGCGCACGGGUGCGUAACACGUAUACAAUCUGCCUUUAACAGGGGGAUAGCCCGGAGAAAUCCGGAUUAAUACCCCAUAACAGUGAUCUUGGCAUCAAGGACACUUAAAAGCUCCGGCGGUUAAAGAUGAGUAUGCGUCUGAUUAGCUAGUUGGUGAGGUAACGGCUCACCAAGGCGACGAUCAGUGGGGGAUCUGAGAGGAUUAACCCCCACACGGAUACUGAGACACGGAUCCGACUCCUACGGGAGGCAGCAGUAAGGAAUAUUGGACAAUGCCCGCAAGGGUGAUCCAGCCAUGCCGCGUGCAGGAAGACGGCCCUAUGGGUUGUAAACUGCUUUUACACCGGAGAAAACCCCACUACGCGUAGUGGGCUGAUAGUAUGGUGAGAAUAAGCAUCGGCUAACUUCGUGCCAGCCGCCGCCGUAA
RNAcentral lists this ribosomal RNA (499 nucleotides) under uncultured bacterium. RNAcentral's name for it is "partial 16S ribosomal RNA". It matches the Rfam family "Bacterial small subunit ribosomal RNA", at positions 28 to 523 of the family's 1533-position model. The record is from RNAcentral.